GGGGUUGUAGCUUAGUGGUAGAAUGAAUGCUUGCCUCACCAGCAUGAGGCCCUGGGUGCGAGCCUCAGCACCCCA
This 75-nucleotide transfer RNA is filed under the name Marmota monax (woodchuck). Its description in RNAcentral is "tRNA.Val". Lineage: Eukaryota; Metazoa; Chordata; Mammalia; Rodentia; Sciuridae. The record is from RNAcentral.